Peromyscus eremicus (cactus mouse) is the source of this 1166-nucleotide long non-coding RNA. RefSeq lists it as uncharacterized. The transcript is spliced from 4 exons. The record is from RefSeq and is a predicted model, not a curated record. Lineage: Eukaryota; Metazoa; Chordata; Mammalia; Rodentia; Cricetidae.
AAACAAAGCUUUUACUUGGGGCUGACUUAGGGUUUCAGAGGUUUGGCCCAUUCAUGGUGGGAGUAUGGCAGCACGCAGGCAGACAAGGUGCUAUAGAAGUAGCUGACAGUUCUACACCUGGAUCCACAGACAGACGAAGAGAGAGCCACUGGGCUUGGCUUGUGCUUUUUAAAACCUCAAAGCCCACCCCCAGUGACACACCUCCUAAUCCCUCAGAAGUAGUGGUUUUUGAUGACUAAGAACUUCAACACAUGUGCUCAUGGGGGCCAUUCUUAUUCAAACCACCACACAGCUCCAGACUAAUUUCCUAAGGGUCACGUGCAAACCAUGUCGAAUGAGACGCGACAGCGACCCAGCGUGUGGACUCUGUGACUGUACUAAGCACAGGUCCGCUAAUUCUCAGCCAGGGUUCAAGCAAAGGAUCAAGGUUUCCACAGGUUCAAUGAAGUUUAAAGACAGGAGAUGCAACUGAAAACCACCUCCCAGCUACCCCGGACGCAGGCGAUGCAACUGAAAACCACCUCCCAGCUACCCCGGACGCAGGCGAUGCAACUGAAAACCACCUCCCAGCUACCCCGGACGCAGGCAAUGCAACUGAAAACCACCUCCCAGCUACCCUGGACGCAGGCGCUGACUGUCUAUUGAAACUCUCAGCUUUGCUGCUCCAUGUACUCAGCUGGUCUUCUCAGUCUCCUGGGCUUCUUUAUGUUUUCUAAGACCAUGGCUUUCUAUCACUCUUUGCAGGACUGAUACCACUACCUUAAUUUCAAUGUCCCACAUUACAGUAAUGACUCCCCAAUUCUAUCUUCACUCCAAAUCAUUCCCCACAAUACAGCUCUACCAACAGGGAGCGUGGAGGGGUGUACCUAAUCAGUAAAGCAGCAUAAUAAACCUUGGCAUGCCAGAUAUUUUUAAAGGCUUCACAAAGACAUAAUUCACAUACUAUACAAUUUGUUCAGUGACUCAACGGUUUUACUAUACUCACAGUUAUGUACCAUGAACACAUCUAAUUUUAGAACAGACUCAUCAGUCCAGAAAGAAGUUUGGCAUGCUUUGCAGUCAUCUCUUAUGUUCCCCAACACACCACUGCUCUAGGUAACCACUGUGUGUUCCGUCUCUAAUUCGCUCAUUUUGAACACUGCAUAUAAAUGCAAGCAUGUAUUCAA